CAAAGGCUUGGUCCUGGCUUUACUAUCAGCUUUAGCUAAACUUACACAUGCAAGUAUCCGCACACCAGUGAGAAUGCCCUACAGAUCCCCUUCCGGGAGCUGGGAGCUGGUAUCAGGCUCAGACCCUCUGGCCCACGACACCUUGCUACUUAGCCACACCCCCACGGGUACUCAGCAGUGACCGACAUUAUGCCAUAAGUGAAAACUUGACUCAGUUAAAGGCUAAGAGGGCCGGUAAAUCUCGUGCCAGCCACCGCGGUUAUACGGGAGGCCCAAGUUGAUAAAAAUCGGCGUAAAGCGUGGUUAGGAAAAUCUCAACUAAGGCCGAACAUCCCCCCCGCUGUUAUACGCUAGAGGGGACUUAGAAGCACAAUUACGAAAGUAGCUUUAUGAUAUCUGAACCCACGAAAGCUAAGGUACAAACUGGGAUUAGAUACCCCACUAUGCUUAGCCCUAAACAUUGACAACUCAACACACCCGUUGUCCGCCUGGAAACUACGAGCGUUAGCUUCAAACCCAAAGGACUUGGCGGUGCUUUAGAUCCCCCUAGAGGAGCCUGUUCUAGAACCGAUGAUCCCCGUUCAACCUCACCCCCUCUUGCUCUUUUCCGCCUAUAUACCGCCGUCGCAAGCUUACCCUUUGAAGGAUUAAUAGUAAGCAAGAUCGGUACCGCCCAGAACGUCAGGUCGAGGUGUAGCGAAUGAGGGGGGAAGAAAUGGGCUACAUUCCCUAAUUCAGGGAAUUACGGAUGAUGUCGCUGAAAUGCGAAUUUGAAGGUGGAUUUAGUAGUAAGCAUGAAAGUAGAGUGUUCUGCUGAAACCGGCCCUGAAGCGCGCACAUACCGCCCGUCACUCUCUCCGAAAUAUGGAAAUUGCCCUAACUAAAAAGAUACAGCACUAGAGGAGAGGCAAGUCGUAACAUGGUAAGUGUACCGGAAGGUGCACUUGGAUAAAC
This 954-nucleotide non-coding RNA is filed under the name Sillago sp. 1 SS-2021. Its description in RNAcentral is "12S ribosomal RNA". It matches the Rfam family "Bacterial small subunit ribosomal RNA". Lineage: Eukaryota; Metazoa; Chordata; Actinopteri; Sillaginidae. The record is from RNAcentral.